ACAGAUGAGGAGCCAUCAGAAGAGUUCAGCUAACACAGCUUAGGCCUAUUUCAUCAUCCCACCAAACAAAAAGAUAGCCUGCUUCACGCUUGACAGAUCAAGGAAGGAAGAGGUGGAGGAGAUGACAGAACAAGAUCUACUGAAAAGACAUCCACGACCUGGUGGCAGGUGCCCAAGCCAUGUGCUCCCAAUACCCACAACUGGAGUCUUUUUGCUGAAGAGACCUAUGAUGAACACAACUAAAUCAUAGGAAUCCAGGACUCCCCACUUGAAGGAUACUGAACUAGGGUGGAAAUUACCUCUACACCCCGAUUGCAUCUCCACUAUCCCUGGCCCAUUCCUCUGCUUUCCUUUUUGCAACACAGAGGUAAUAGCCUACCAUGGAAGGGAAGCCAUGACAGAAUUGACACUGCAGUGGGGAGUCCAGGCUGCUGGAACCUGAGAAUCGAAAUCCCACAAGCCUAUGUUCAGCUACCUGCUUCUGCCACCAAUUUCUCAUCUUCAAAAGGCUCCCUAAACGCCCAAAACAGUUCAAAGCAACUAAGGAUCAACUGAUGAAACAUUUGUCCUUACGGUGGAUAUCCCAUGACAAAAAAUUUAUAUUAACAAGACAACAGUUUUACAAGUUGGUGGUUGUGACACUGUUGGGUUUUGACUUUAAAGUAGGGUGUUACUAUAGCCCAGACUGGUCUUGAAUACACAAUGUAGCCCAGCAUAGGCUGACCUGGAAGUCAUGGAAGUCCUCCUGCCACCUCUUUUCAAUUGUUGGAAAUGUAUGUGUAAAUGUUGAAAUUAUAAGCACUAUGCUUGGCUUAAGACAACCUUCAUUAUCUCACAUUCCCUUCCCUGAUUCUGUCAUAACUUGUAUUGCCACACUCCACCCCAAAAGACCCAUCUCCUUACCUGUUCCCAGAUCUAAAUGCUGGAUGAGCAGCAAUGAUAUGGAUCAGUUCACACCAGACACACUAGAUGAUUAUAUUCUCCUAAUUGUUGGCACUAUCUUUCUCAAGUACCUAAUUAAAUAUGGUUUUCCUCUUGUC
Molecule: long non-coding RNA, 1040 nt
Filed under: Mus spretus (western wild mouse)
Lineage: Eukaryota; Metazoa; Chordata; Mammalia; Rodentia; Muridae
Description: RIKEN cDNA 1700041M19 gene (ENSMSPG00010015103.1)
Source: RNAcentral